AAAAAAAGGAAAAAAAGGCAUUUAAAGCCUUCAGCACUCCAGCCAGCCUUUUUCAAUGCAAGUACAUCUGGUUACAAGGCGACAAAAUAUUUUUCUGCUGUUAAAAUUUCCUUUCAACAAAUCUCUUCUGGUGGGGCCUUCAGAACAGCAUAAGAAAAGGAUGCCCUUAUCACUAGAAAGGCAGGAGAUACUUUUCUAAAUGUUUUGGCAAAUGCAAGACCCUCUCUUCACCUUUAGCAUGUUUCUGCAAGACAUGUUAGUCAAACACCUGCAGAUGCAGAUGAGUGAAGUGCAUCUUCUUUGUGCAUGUUCUCUUGGCCACCUUCAACUUUGUACCUCCUAACAGGCACAAGGCAGAGGGCAAGCCUUAUAGAAGGUACAUAAAUCUGUGCAAUCCUAAUGAACACCUAUCAGGACUCUUCCAUCAGGUCAGGCUUUCUAAGAAGCUGAAAUACAGCUCCUACAAAACAUGCUCUUCACUCAGCACAGACACAUCUCUUAACACUGCUUUGGACAGAAAAAGUAGAAAACUGCUCCCUUGAAGUCAUCGUGGGUGAAUCUCUUUGUCAUCCCAUAAAUCUCAGUAUUCCUUGGAAAACCACAGAUCCAUCUUACUGAUACCUGCUUUUUCAUCUGCAGACCUCAGGACUUCCUAUGCCUCACUCCGCCAAAGUCUGACAAGCUUCAUCACCCACCCACACUUCCCCUGUCCUGCAAGGAGAGUCUCAGACUCUGCUUAUGUCCUAGAUGUUUGCCUGUGCAGAUUCAUGAACCCAGUGCACCUUACUCAUUUCUGGGAAAGCCAUGCCACUGUUCAGCUGAAACCUAAAGCUGUGCUAGAAUAUUUAUUACAGCUAUUUUUCUUUUGGUUAUUCAUUUUCUUGGUACCUUUUGGCUGCAGUGUAGUGACAAUUGAUGGCACCAUGAUGCCCUCGUCAUGUGUGCUCUGCACGGCCCAUCCAGUGCCACAGGAGGCAGCACAUGGCAGAACUGCAGGCAGAGGGAGAGGGGGCAGGCACUGCUCCUCCUGAUGCCAGUCACAAAUGCCCAUUUUCCCUUCUAUGCUUUUAAGCAUGUCUCAGCUCCAUGAAUAAGAAGCUGUCAGGGAAUGACAUGCAGACAGCUAGUAUCAAAAAAUUUCUGUGUAGGAGCUGGCUCAUUAAUUUCUUGAUAUGUUUUAUGUGAAACUUCUGGAAUGAUGUUUUACAAAACCACUUAGAGAUAUUGUAUCUGGUCUGUGUACCUCAAACAUGCUGUGGUAAGCUUAUCUUUACAGUUUUGUCAGUUAGCCUGCACAUUUGUGAUCAGUCAUUGCAAAUGUCAUGGUAAGGCCCUGAUUUUGAAGGGAAAAAGCAAGUAAAAGAAGAAAAAAAACCCCAUCUUAUAGUCUCAGAAUAAUGAAUAACCAACUCCAAGGUAUAGGGCCAUGGGUAAGUCCCCUCUAGAUCAAAGGUGCCCUAGAGCCCACGGCAGCAAGGAUGAUGACAGAAGAGCUGAAGUGAUUCUGCUCUCUGUGCUCCUUCCUGGUGGCAUAAGAGUGCUCCAGGCUUGGGCCCACCACCAAUUUUGCUGUCCAGAGGCUCCAACCAUAAUUGCAUCAGCCUUACUUGCAAGAACAGUGAGACACAAACAAAUUCCUUGGAGAAGUUGCUCUCCUUUUAUGGUUUAAUGUUGCAAUUUCAGCUUACAGUUUGUUCUGUAGUACACAUACUGUUAGCACUUGAGAAAAGUCAUUAAUUUUUGUUCUUUUCCUCAGUGAAACAGUGCAUUGAUCAUAUUCCUUCAUGUUUCUUGUUGAAAUACUCAUUUUGCAAGAAGUCUAGAAGCAGGAAUAGGGCACUGCUUUGUAAAACGUUACAUGGUUUGGGUUUGUUGCUUUUUUGAAUAGGGAAGAGGCUAAGCCAAACUAAUGCAGUUUUUACUUUGAAGCACUAAUGAGUGAUGAUUAAAGGAUAAGUUUGAUCUAUACAGCUCCUGGAACUGCAGCUGCUAGUGCCUGAGGAUGGUCUGCAAGCAAACCAAGCGGGAUGAGCAGUCGCAAUGCAGAGCCCAGCAAGCACUGUUUGGAACAGGUUCUUUGUAAACACAGCCCCAGAAGGUGUCAUCUGUGCUCACCCGCUGAAGCAAAUCAGCUACCUGAGGAUCCUGAGUCUGCAGCAAAGAAACAUGCUGGGCUGCACUGUGGUGGCCCUGGUAUGCCCUGUAUCAGCUACUUGAUGGAGCCCAGCCAAGAUUGUGUUCAUGUAACUCUGGAAAGCCUAUACAGGAGGAGAAUCUCUGUCUAGGGGAGACUGGGAGAUGUUGAAACAUGUCAAAAAAGCCACAUAAAACUGCUGCUGUGGCCUUCCUGGGAUGGCUGUCAGAGCUACAGGGGAACCAAGAACAGAGCAAUGGUGUCCCAUGUCCCAACAUUUGAUGGAUCAUCCACUGCUCACUUUGCCCCAAGGCCGUACUUCUUGAAUUUUGAUACAGUAUUUUUCAGUCCAUGUCUCAGUCUGCAUUAAAUUUUGGUAAGUAUUUAUUUUGACAAAUUUUCUAACUGCCAGAUAGAAUUUAUUAUUUAUUAUUUACAAGAAACUUUGAACUGUAAUGGCAAAUGCUUAUUGCAGUGUUUAUGAUAACCUUUUAUGCUAAAAAUAACUUUUGUAAACAAGCUUUGAUUAAUUCUCACUGUCAGGAUGUGCACUGUUCCCAAGUUUAAGAACACUUUUUCCGUAGAUGCUUGCUCAUUUCCUUCAGUCCAACCUCUUGGAACGAGUCUGAAGGCUCAAAAAUCAGGCUUCUCCUUAAAAGAAAUAACUGUGCAGGUAUAAACAACCUCCUAGCAAACAACCUAUAAUUCCUCUCAACACCUUUGAUCUGACUCAAAGGGGUCUUUCUGGUCGGUUCAGAGGUAGACAAUGAUAAAAUGUGUUUCUCCUAGAGGUCACAUCAUCACCUGCACAGAAUUUUCCUGGCUUUGUCUCAUCCUGAUUCCUAUGCUUUCCCUCAACACUGCGUCUGACUGUCCUGCUAAGGUCCUCUGCAGAGAGACAUCUCCAUUCUUCACACAGCACACCAGAGCUUUCUCACAUCAGAAGAUAGGGGGAGGAAUCAGCCUGCCUGGUCACUUUCAAAAGACUUUUCUGCUCAUCCAUUAUAAUUUUAAAUAAACAAAUAACUUGCCUGUAAGGCAUUUUCCCCUUGUGGCUGCCUGCACCUCAAUUUUCCUCCCCAUCUCCCCUCACACAGCACACCCUCGAGUCAUGUUGCUAUAGUAGCCAGCAUAAGCCCACCAAGACCCAAAACUCCCUCAUGCCACUUCCCUACUCAAGAUCUCCAUCUAAGCUUGCUUGCUGGGCCUCCCAAGGAUGUCCAUGUCAAAGAUGGUCAUUCUGUGCGUACUUGUCCUGGUUGCAAAAGAUUCCCAAAAUUGCAGUUGAGUUACAGAAUUCUGCAAAAAGCAGUAUUUUCUUUUUUUUUCUUUUUUUUUUUUUUUUCAGACUGUAGGCCAUUAAUAAUUCUCUCUGCAGUUACCCCCACAUGAUUAGCCUUCCACCCUGGGUGAGGUUGGACCACCCAUAGCUGGAGAGUGGUAAAGUGACUGCAACCUGCAUGACUGGAGGCCAGGAGGAAAGAAAGGCUGACACUGAAUCCUCUUCACACAUCACCCAGGCAAUAGAGAAAAGGCCUGGGCUCUAGCUAAUUUAUGAAUCAUUCCCUCCUAGCAUAUAAACCACCCACUUGUGUGGCAGAAAAAGAGCACGCGCGUGCGUCACCGCUUGGAGAAAGCAACGCAAGCAGAAACCUCGCUCGCUCUGACAGAUUUCUAGAAGUGCAGAGGGAAGAGCAGAGAAAGCCACCGCCAAUCAAGCCACCCGUACGCUGGUCCAAAGCCCCAGGAUAUUCCAAGUUUUAUGAGUACCUUGACCAGAAAGAUAAGUAUUAGGAUUUCGGCAGCCAUUAAUCUCUUCCUGGAUUAUUUUACGAUGCUGAGAGUGCCAGCCUGUCCCGCAGCUGCCACGCCAGCACAAGCCUGGUACCUCAGAGGAUGUGCCAAAUGCUCUGUGUUCAGGCCAAGGCACAGCCCCAUGGAACCACCUGAGGCCCACAGCGUGCAGAGAAGAUGUCAGGCUGCUGAUCAGCUAUUAGAGCAGAUAGUGGCACUGCCUUUUUCCCUAUAUUAGGGCUAGAUUACUUUACUCUGGCUUAGCUUUCAGGAAGUGCAAUAUCCUGCUCCAAGUCACUGUAUGCUCAGAAAGCACCAAUGCUGCUCAUAGAAGGUCAAAAGAGCUCUGGGUCACCUUUGUAAAGCUACUGCAGCCCACAUUUAAAACAGAUCAGUGACACACACCCUCCAUCUUCUCAAAAAUAUUAGAGACAUUUGGAGAGAAACAAGGAAGAAAGCAUAUGGUCAAGUCUCAGAGGGCCAGCCAUUCAUCUCAGCUCAGGUCUUCUCUCCCCAGACUGGUUUUGCACUGCUCUGGUCCAUCAAGAUCAUGGAUUCCUUCCCUGUGGCAAUCAACUCUGACAUCAGCCAAGACAAGGCAAGCUUCAGAGAUGACCUGCAGAGUGAAGAAGGCCCAGCACCAACCACUCUAAACAACGCAACAGAAAUGACUGUUUCAACAUUGGCCAAAACUGAACUUCCUUUUAAAUCAGCCAAAUUUUUUUUGUGGGUUAUAAAUGUAUCACUCUGCUUUUCUCUCCUGGAAUCGCACUGCAGUGGUGGGGAUAAGGUUGGUUAUGACAAUGCACAACCCCAGAUGGCUAUCAAUGAUUUGUGUUUGAGAGAUUACAGAUCCUUAUCUUGGGGCAUUACUUGUAGUAAUCAGUCAAUUUUGACAGCUAAUCUAGAGGUCCAUACACAUUGUUGCUCAAAGGCUCAGCAGGUAUUGCUAAGAUCUGUUUUCAGAUAACCCAACUAUUUACCUACUCUAAAAAACACAUAUGAAAGGAUGUGCUUUAUCUCUUCACCAGCGGGUUAAAGCUAAAGGUGAAUGAAGUGCAAUUUGCAGGCUGGGGGUGGGGGGGGGAAGGGAGGUGGGCCCCACAUUAAAUUCAAAACCAGCCUCAUUUUUGAAAAGGGCACUGACCACAUUCCCAUCCCAUACCAAACCAGAACCGGCAUUAUUUUAACAAGAUGGCACAACUGCUGGUAAACACGGACAAUUUUUCAAUUAAGCUUGAUUUCAAGCCUAAGGGACAAGCACUGCCAUCACAUGACUUUGCUAUCAGUGGUAUGCGUACCUACGCUUCAGCCCCAAACCCUCUCAACUGUAAACAGUUCAGAGAGUCACACAGAGCAUUGUUGACAAAUCCCAAGUUUUAUGAUCUAACUCUGUGUUGUCCCUUGGGCAAUACCCACCAACAUUUGUGGGGGCAAACCCUGGGGCUUCAGCGGGCUUGGACCACUAUCUCAUGACAUUUUAGCUUGUUGUGUUGGCACAUUUGCUGACAGGUUCACACAAGGGGCCUUUGUGGGUAAGAACAAUGAGAGAGGCCUGCACAGCACAGGAAAAUGGGUGGUGACCACCAAGGGCUGAAAAAAAGCCUCUUUCAAAGGAAGGUCUUUGAAAACAUUCAUUACACUCCACCCAGCUAUUUUCACUACAGUAUUUCAGUACAUAAAAACAACACAGGGAAAAUAAACAGCCCACCCUUCAAUAUGUUGUAGGUUCUCCAACCCUUGAAAUGAAAUCAGCAAUCCAUAAAUAUGUAGAAAUCUUCACCAAAAAGAGCCAUGUAAGAGGCCAUCCACCAAAACCUCUCCACACCACCUUUCUUCUCUUAUGCAUCUCCAGGCUCUUCAUGUAAGCUGACUCAAAUGGGCAUCCUAAUUUUUAGAAUAAAAUUGAAACUCAGAAGUGUAUGGCUAGUAAAGACAUAAUAACAAGCAUUUAUAGGAACUGAAAAGUAACUAUAUUGACACAAUUUUAAAAAUUGCUAAACAGUCCACUACAAUGCAUUUCAGCUAUGAUUUUUUUUUCCUACCAGUUUCAGCUAGAACUAAUAAAAUAUUUCAGGUAAAACAACAGCCAGAGAGAAAGAAGCAAUAAAUAAUCUGUAAUUAAGUGGGUCUCUGAAACCAGCAGGCAGCUGUAAACUGGAAGUCAGUCUCACAGAGGCUUGUCUCCAUCACAGUCAGCAAGGUUUCCAACAGAGCAAAGAUUGAGCAGGUGAAGCCCCAGCCUUGGAAGCACAGAAAUAGCUCCUCCUCCUGAGGCUCUGGGCUGCUCUCUGAUGAUGAUCACUACAGCAUCCUUACUCGUAAGUUCUGUACAGAAAGGCAGUGGAGCAUCCACAACAGAAAUUCUGCCACUUUGCAUCGCCUUAUUUCAAGCAUGAGGUCUCUGCGAUGGAUGCUCUAAGACUGCAGCAGGGGCAGAUGCCAAUUCUCAAUGAAAAUGUUUUGUCUCCUUUAGAGAACCUUCAAAACACUCACUAAAAUUAUUUUGCAGCAUUGUUUGUUAAUAAGCCAUGCUUUGUCCUCCUGAAGUGUCAAAUCUUCUAAUGCUAAAGUUAAGAAAACAGAUCCUGCAAUAAAAUCUGUAUUAAAUCAUGCUGACCCUUCUUUACUUUUUGGAUUUUAACCAUGUUAACGUGCACUUGGUAAUGAUGGAAGUUAAUGAUUUCUCCUUCUCUAUCUCUUGGCGAUUUGCAGCCAUCCAUGGUAAGAUGAUGGAUAUCCAGAAAGACAGAUUAAACAGCCAUUUCUUUGGCAAGCAGGGAAUAGUAAUUCCUGAAAGUAACAAUACAGAUGCUCUAAAUUUUGAUCAUUCCUUGUAACACAGCUUCCUCCACUUCCUGCAACAAUGAUCAAGUGCAGAUUUUGAGGGCCAGGCUAUAGUUUUUGCCCUCUGGGGUGUGGGUUUUGUCUGUACAAACAUCCUGGGACACAGCUAAUUCUCAGCCCCUGCUUUCUCUUCGGAAGGCUGUUAUUUUAUACAGUAGCUCUUUAAUUGUCUCUCUCCUCCUAACUAAGUCAUCAGGUUAAACUGGAGCAGUGAUGACUUUGUAUGCUGUGAUUUUGAGUUCUCAUUAGUUUUCAAAAGUCUGACACUAGUUUAAGUCCAUAAAAAUCAAAAUUUAGUAGCUUGAGCUGGGGUAAAUUUUGUUCUUUGCUUACUACAAGGUAAAAGGAUUGAUACUAAAGGGUUAGACCACAUCAGCUACCUGCCCAGAAAAGCAGCAGUCACUUCAGCCAAGUUAGAAAAUUCCUCUAAAUUUACAGCUAAAAUCAAACCCUGGAGUGAUGUAACUUGGGGGCAAUCAAUAACCCCAAAACACCUUCAGCUCCUGGCAAAGUCCUGAGGAAUCUUCUCACUGCUGACCUGCCCCUCCGCACCCAUGCUUGUGGCAGAAGCCGGAGGGACAUCGAAACUCCAGCAGUUGAGGAGGAAACAGUUGUGGCCCCUCAACACUCAACUGCAGUAUUUAAAAUAUUUUAAAAAUUAAGGCUUGGUUCUGUCGGGAAUUGGCCGCUAGCUCCUCUGACACAUCACCCUGAAUUACUCACUAAACACUAACUUUCAAAGGGAACUGAUAUAAAGGCACUCUGUAUUGUAACACAAAGUAAAUAACUGGAUGCAGUCUUUCUCUUCUGGUGCUUCUUGCUUUAUUGCUUCCCUGCUCCUACUGUCUACUAACUCCUAAACCUCUAUGUAGCUACAAUUAAAAAAUGGAAAAAGAAAAAAAAUCUGAACAUAAGAAGCAGCAAAGCUAGGAAGAAAUCAUGUACAUAUACAAAAGUAAAUUCACAUGGCCACAUUUUUUUUCUAUUUUCUGGGUUUUACUUCAGAACUAUGAAUUAACAUAUCAGUAUUUUGGUGUUAUUUCUGUUGGAGCUUUUGGGCUUCUUAAGUUUAAGCAAACAAGGCACAUGUGCGUAUACUGGGCCUGAUUCUCAUCUCCACCAUGGCCCCAUCACCCCAAGAGGGCAGGAGGCAGGAGUCAGCUGUAAGAAAUUCUGUUUAUGAAAAACAUAAGUAGGAAGAACUCAAUUCUUCCAGAAAAGAAACAAGACUUUUUUGUUUUAUAUGAUGCCAUCCACAAUUGUAAGCUUACUUAACAACACAUUACAUCUGGGCAGGUCCUGGAGAUCUAUCAGAACUGUGCAUCUGUUAGGGUGUGGUACCUCAACAUUCACUGUUUUGAUUCUGACUAUACAGCAACCAAAUUUCUGAGGAGAAUGUCCAAGAUGCACAUGCUGAAAUGCAUGCAAAUGGAUCAGCACACACAGAAGUGGCCACAGGAGUUACACAAAACAGAUGGCAUCUCCCAAGUCAGGAGUGAGGGUGCUGUCAACUCAGUAACUACCAACACUGUUAUGUAAACAUACUUUGUGCCUCCUUACAGUGGUUCUUGGAAAAUAAAAUUCUUAUUCUUCUCAUCCUUUCCCUAAAUUAUGUAACUUAAUCAACUGAAGUGCAUAAUUUCCCAAAACCUAACUGCUUUCUCAGAAAAUGGAAAAAAAAGGAAAAAAAAUUAAGAAAAAAAAAAGAAAAGAAGCUGCACUCACUGCCAAAAUCAUGGUUUUGUUGUUAGAAAACACAACUGGGAUGGUACAGAGGCCAAAGCUGAGGUAGGUUGAGAAACAACUGUACCACCACGAGCAGAAGUGCAGGGGAGGGCUGAGGCAGAGAGCACCACGUACGCGUGUUGAUAGAAGCUGAAUCCAAAAUGGAACGUCGCUUCUUGUGCUAAUGUAUUCUUUUGAACUGUGUGUGUCUACUGCCAGUGCAGUUAGCUACCUUUGUACAGAACAUGCUGCUGUGGCCAAGGGUAGUUAUAAAAAUAUAUUUACUCCUUCACAGACGGGGAAAAAAAAAGGUACAGAAUAAAGAACAUGAAUAAAUAUUUAACUCUUUUACUGGAACAGCUUUAUGCUACUGUGAAAUACACUUAAGACUGAGGCAUAUGGAAAACAAAUUAUAAUUAAAGAGCAAGGCAUAGUAACAUCUAAUGGAGACAAUCUAAGUUGUACAAAUAUCACUUUAUUUAAUGUAGUUUUUAGUCAGUGGUACAUUUAUAAAGCAACAAGCCUUGGAGAAAUACACUUCAUGAACAUACUACUGAUUUUAUUACACAUCUUAAAAAUUUUAAAAGCUGUUUUAUUCAUGACUGUAUAUAAAAAUUUUCCAUAUAAAAUUUUCUCCCUUGUUCUUAUCCUCAUACAGAUAAUGGACUUCAAUUUCUGUUGAUUUUCAAGAAAACUUGAAAACCCUGGGAAAAAUCUUCAAAGACUGUAAGACAACAGCCAUUACCAGAACAAACCCAUGUGGAUGAAUAUUUUAACCACAGUUUCUCCACUUAAGAGGAAACCAAUCUCUCAGAUCACUAACAAUCAAACAGGUGAUUUUCAUGACUGAUACUAAAUGAAGUUUCAUUACCUACCAAUAAAUUUUUACCACAGCUGAGAACAGCUUUAACCAACAAAGCCUGGCAAAGCCUUUCUAAAAACACAGUGAACAAAACCAAUCCACCAUGUAAGAAGUGGAUGUAAGAAGAAAGAGGCUCUCCU
Molecule: long non-coding RNA, 9502 nt
Organism: Motacilla alba alba
Lineage: Eukaryota; Metazoa; Chordata; Aves; Passeriformes; Motacillidae
Exons: 5
Source: RefSeq, a predicted model, not a curated record